RNAcentral lists this ribosomal RNA (257 nucleotides) under Staphylococcus aureus. RNAcentral's name for it is "partial 16S ribosomal RNA". It matches the Rfam family "Bacterial small subunit ribosomal RNA", at positions 1 to 246 of the family's 1533-position model. Lineage: Bacteria; Bacillati; Bacillota; Bacilli; Caryophanales; Staphylococcaceae. The record is from RNAcentral.
UUAUGGAGAGUUUGAUCCUGGCUCAGGAUGAACGCUGGCGGCGUGCCUAAUACAUGCAAGUCGAGCGAACGGACGAGAGUGCUUGCACUCUCUGAUGUUAGCGGCGGACGGGUGAGUAACACGUGGGUAACCUACCUAUAAGACUGGGAUAACUUCGGGAAACCGGAGCUAAUACCGGAUAAUAUUUUGAACCGCAUGGUUCAAAAGUGAAAGACGGUCUUGCUGUCACUUAUAGAUGGAUCCGCGCUGCAUUAGCU